AACGAACGCUGGCGGCAUGCCUAACACAUGCAAGUCGAACGAGGCCCUCGGGUCUGGUGGCGCACGGGUGCGUUACGCGUGCGAACCUGCCCUUAGGUGCGGAAUAACUCGCCGGCCGGGGUGCUAAUACCGGAUAAUGUUUUCGGACCAAAGAUUGAUCGCCUUUGGAUGGGCCCGCGUUGGAUUAGCUAGUUGGUAGGGUAAAGGCCUACCAAGGCGACGAUCCAUAGCUGGUCUGAGAGGAUGAUCAGCCACACUGGGACUGAGACACGGCCCAGACUCCUACGGGAGGCAGCAGUGGGGAAUAUUGGACAAUGGGCGAAAGCCUGAUCCAGCAAUGCCGCGUGAGUGAUGAAGGCCUUAGGGUUGUAAAGCUCUUUUACCCGGGAUGAUAAUGACAGUACCGGGAGAAUAAGCUCCGGCUAACUCCGUG
This 433-nucleotide ribosomal RNA is filed under the name uncultured bacterium. Its description in RNAcentral is "partial 16S ribosomal RNA". It matches the Rfam family "Bacterial small subunit ribosomal RNA", at positions 29 to 507 of the family's 1533-position model. The record is from RNAcentral.